RNAcentral lists this ribosomal RNA (113 nucleotides) under Cordylochernes scorpioides. Lineage: Eukaryota; Metazoa; Arthropoda; Arachnida; Pseudoscorpiones; Chernetidae. The record is from RNAcentral.
UUUUUCAUUGGUCGGUAAACACCGGUUCUCGUCCGAUCACCGAAGUUAAGCAAUGUCGGGCCCGGUCAGUACUUGGUAGGGUGACCACCUGGGAACACCGGGUGCUGUAGGCU